CCGCCUGGGGAGUACGGCCGCAAGGUUAAAACUCAAAUGAAUUGACGGGGGCCCGCACAAGCGGUGGAGCAUGUGGUUUAAUUCGAUGCAACGCGAAGAACCUUACCUACUCUUGACAUCCAGAGAACUUAGCAGAGAUGCUUUGGUGCCUUCGGGAACUCUGAGACAGGUGCUGCAUGGCUGUCGUCAGCUCGUGUUGUGAAAUGUUGGGUUAAGUCCCGCAACGAGCGCAACCCUUAUCCUUUGUUGCCAGCGAUUCGGUCGGGAACUCAAAGGAGACUGCCGGUGAUAAACCGGAGGAAGGUGGGGAUGACGUCAAGUCAUCAUGGCCCUUACGAGUAGGGCUACACACGUGCUACAAUGGCGUAUACAAAGAGAAGCGACCUCGCGAGAGCAAGCGGAACUCAUAAAGUACGUCGUAGUCCGGAUUGGAGUCUGCAACUCGACUCCAUGAAGUCGGAAUCGCUAGUAAUCGUAGAUCAGAAUGCUACGGUGAAUACGUUCCCGGGCCUUGUACACACCGCCCGUCACACCAUGGGAGUGGGUUGCAAAAGAAGUAGGUAGCUUAACCUUCGGGAGGGCGCUUACCACUUUGUGAUUCAUGACUGGGGUGAAGUCGUAACAAGGUAACCGUAGGGGAACCUGCGGUUGGAUCACCUCCUUA
Molecule: ribosomal RNA, 664 nt
Filed under: Providencia rettgeri
Lineage: Bacteria; Pseudomonadati; Pseudomonadota; Gammaproteobacteria; Enterobacterales; Morganellaceae
Also listed under: 1 other name
Description: bacterial SSU rRNA
Rfam family: Bacterial small subunit ribosomal RNA
Source: RNAcentral